AGAACGAACGCUGGCGGCAGGCCUCAAACAUGCAAGUCUAGGGGGGUAGCAAUACCCACCGGCGGACGGGUGCGUAACACGUGGGAAUAUACCUUUCGGUACGGAACAACUGCGGGAAACUGCAGCUAAUACCGUAUACGUCCUAACGGAGAAAGAUUUAUCGCCGAAGGAUUAGCCCGCGUCCGAUUAGCUAGUUGGUGAGGUAAUGGCUCACCAAGGCUCCGAUCGGUAGCUGUUCUGAGAGGAAGAUCAGCCACACUGGGACUGAGACACGGCCCAGACUCCUACGGGAGGCAGCAGUUGGGAAUCUUGGACAAUGGGGGAAACCCUGAUCCAGCCAUGCCGCGUGAGUGAUGAAGGCCUUCGGGUUGUAAAACUCUUUCGACGGGGACGAGUAAUGACGGUACCCGUAGAAGAAGCUCCGGCUAACUUCGCGCCAGCAGCCGC
Molecule: ribosomal RNA, 447 nt
Filed under: uncultured bacterium
Lineage: Bacteria
Description: SSU rRNA
Rfam family: Bacterial small subunit ribosomal RNA
Source: RNAcentral